AAAAUCUUCAUAUCAAAUAAAUGAAUGUCAACACUACAAUCUUAAAAAUCACUCAUAAUAUUAUCUUUUUGUGUAGUGAUGACAUGACAACCAAUAACUACAUUAGAAAACAUACAAUAAAACAAGAGUAUUUAUAAUAAAUGACUAUAGAUUUGAAAAGAAUGUACAAACUAACCUUGAAUCACAGUAUCUUGUCGGAAACAUGUUGGAAAACACGUGUAAUUACGUAAAUGUCCUUUGUAACAUGUUAUUUUUCCGAAAUACAUGCGAUAACAUAAUAUCCUCUUUUUAUCUUGUUAUUUUCUCUUAUUACAUAGUAUUUAUUAAAAAGCACCUGGUAUUUUUUGGAAAAAACAUUCUAUUCAGUUUAAUAUCUCUUUUUAUCAUGAUAUUUUGUAGUAAUACACGUUUUUUAUUAAGAUCACACGUGAUUUCUUUAAAAAUAUAUUCCUAUUUUUUAGUAAUACAUGGUUUUUAUUAAAAUCACAUAUAAUUUUUUUUUUUUAAGAUUCUGUUCACGUAAAAGAAUUUCAUAAGAAUA
Molecule: small RNA, 541 nt
Filed under: Arabidopsis thaliana (thale cress)
Lineage: Eukaryota; Viridiplantae; Streptophyta; Magnoliopsida; Brassicales; Brassicaceae
Description: ATSL084060
Source: RNAcentral